CAUUAUUGUAUAACUUGAUGCGCUAGGGUUGUCGCUGACCUUUGAAAAAGGUCGUGCACACCUUAGUGUACUCAUAAAUCCAUCUCACCCAUUGUGCAUUACCGCGUGAGCCCUUAUUUUUGGUUUGUUCCAAGGGGGUUCACGUUUUUACAUAUACACACCCCUAUAGAAUGUCUGUAUAGAAUGUCUACUUUUUGCAAUCAUAUGCAAUUAAUACAACUUUCAACAACGGAUCUCUUGGCUCUCGCAUCGAUGAAGAACGCAGCGAAAUGCGAUACGUAAUGUGAAUUGCAGAAUUCAGUGAAUCAUCGAAUCUUUGAACGCAUCUUGCGCCCCUUGGCAUUCCGAGGAGCACACCCGUUUGAGUGUCGUGACAUUCUCAAAACCUUCUUGGUUUUAUUAACUGCGAAGGCUUUGGAUUUUGGGGGUCUUAUUGCUGGCAUCCUUUGGAGCCGGCUCCUCCUAAAUAGAUUAGUAGGGUCUGCUUUGUCAAUCCUUGAUGUGAUAAGAUAUUUUCUACAUCUCGUAGUUUGGCACAGUCACUUUGGGUCCUGCUUCUAACUGUCUUGUAGAAGACAUUGUUAUAAACCCUUGACCUCAAAUCGGGUGAGACUACCCGCUGAACUUAAGCAUAUCAAUAAGCGGAGGAAAAGAAACUAACAAGGAUUCCCCUAGUAACUGCGAGUGAAGCGGGAAAAGCUCAAAUUUAAAAUCUGAUGGCCUUUGGUUAUCCGAGUUGUAAUUUAGAGAAGCG
Molecule: ribosomal RNA, 754 nt
Filed under: uncultured Russula
Lineage: Eukaryota; Fungi; Basidiomycota; Agaricomycetes; Russulales; Russulaceae
Description: eukaryotic LSU rRNA
Rfam family: 5.8S ribosomal RNA (bases 218-371)
Source: RNAcentral